AUGAGAGUCCUAAGUUGGAACUGCCAGGGACUUGGGCAACCCCGGACAGUUCAGGAGCUAGUGUGCUUAGUGCACACGUACAAGCCUAAGCUUGCCUUCCUCUCUGAAACUAUGCAAAGCAACACUUAUGUCAAUAUAAGAUGGAGGUUAGGCCUUAAGCAUUGUAUCCUACAACCAGGCAUAGGAAAAAGUGUUGGGAUUGUACUCUUUUAUGAUGAAAAUGUCGAAGUAAUAAAGCUUGCCGUUGGCUCUAGGUACAUCAAUGUGUUGAUCAGAUUGUCACCUAAUAGUUUGCAAUGGCGUGGUACUUUCAUCUAUGGAGAACCUAGAGCAUAG
This 336-nucleotide ribosomal RNA is filed under the name Triticum aestivum (bread wheat). RNAcentral's name for it is "partial small subunit ribosomal RNA". The record is from RNAcentral. Lineage: Eukaryota; Viridiplantae; Streptophyta; Magnoliopsida; Poales; Poaceae.